Molecule: ribosomal RNA, 269 nt
Filed under: uncultured prokaryote
Description: partial 16S ribosomal RNA
Rfam family: Bacterial small subunit ribosomal RNA
Source: RNAcentral
UACGGAGGAUCCGAGCGUUAUCCGGAUUUAUUGGGUUUAAAGGGUGCGUAGGCGGCUUUUUAAGUCAGCGGUGAAAUUUUGCAGCUUAACUGUAACAGUGCCGUUGAUACUGGGGAGCUAGGAUUUGGUUGCUGUGGGUGGAAUGUGUGGUGUAGCGGUGAAAUGCUUAGAUAUCACACAGAACACCGAUUGCGAAGGCAGCACACUAAGUCAUUAUUGACGCUGAGGCACGAAAGUGUGGGGAUCAAACAGGAUUAGAUACCCCUGUA